ACGGGUGAGUAAUGCUUAGGAAUCUGCCUAUUAGUGGGGGACAACAUUCCGAAAGGAAUGCUAAUACCGCAUACGCCCUACGGGGGAAAGCAGGGGAUCUUCGGACCUUGCGCUAAUAGAUGAGCCUAAGUCAGGUUAGCUAGUUGGUGGGGUAAAGGCCUACCAAGGCGACGAUCUGUAGCGGGUCUGAGAGGAUGAUCCGCCACACUGGGACUGAGACACGGCCCAGACUCCUACGGGAGGCAGCAGUGGGGAAUAUUGGACAAUGGGCGCAAGCCUGAUCCAGCCAUGCCGCGUGUGUGAAGAAGGCCUUUUGGUUGUAAAGCACUUUAAGCGAGGAGGAGGCUACUUGGAUUAAUACUCUGAGAUAGUGGACGUUACUCGCAGAAUAAGCACCGGCUAACUCUGUGCCAGCAGCCGCGGUAAUACAGAGGGUGCGAGCGUUAAUCGGAUUUACUGGGCGUAAAGCGUGCGUAGGCGGCUUUUUAAGUCGGAUGUGAAAUCCCUGAGCUUAACUUAGGAAUUGCAUUCGAUACUGGGAAGCUAGAGUAUGGGAGAGGAUGGUAGAAUUCCAGGUGUAGCGGUGAA
This 588-nucleotide ribosomal RNA is filed under the name uncultured bacterium. RNAcentral's name for it is "bacterial SSU rRNA". It matches the Rfam family "Bacterial small subunit ribosomal RNA", at positions 102 to 685 of the family's 1533-position model. The record is from RNAcentral.